This 72-nucleotide microRNA precursor is filed under the name Drosophila melanogaster (fruit fly). RNAcentral's name for it is "mir-313". Lineage: Eukaryota; Metazoa; Arthropoda; Insecta; Diptera; Drosophilidae. The record is from RNAcentral.
AUUUUCGGGCUGUGAAAAGUGCAAUACUCAAUGUUAAAAAAAACAGUACUGCCCCCAUCCGCAGCAGAAAAU